AGACUGGCCAUUAGCGGGUAAUAUACUCAGAAGCGGUGGGUGGUGUGAGCGCCUCCGAAGUCUGACCAGAAGGCUGCUCUGUCUACCUCUUCUGCGGCGACAAUGUUUUGGGUCAGUCUCUGGAAUCAGUUUGAAUGCCUUGGGCGGUUCGAACAAAGGAUCCAUUUCGGGAAAGUCGGAUUCCUGGUCGUAGAGCUGAUUAUGCUGAUGCCCGACUGUAAAAACUUGGAGAUCUUCACUGGUUCUGAGGGAGGUGAUGUGGCCACAAACAGUGCCCGGGACGCAUUCCAGCGCUACCACUGUCUAGAGAACAGCCAGAGGUUGGUCAAGACAUCUGCCGCAACUUCAUCUUUCGUGUGUCAGCUCUGCUGCACCUGGGAGCUAAAGAUAGCUCUGGCUUGCUGAUAACAUCUGAUCUGAUGCGACUCCAUAUGCGAUUUGACUCCUGUAUUUCUGACUGUAUUCAAUAAAACGUCCAAUGUCAAAUAUAAAUAAUUAGGAUUUUGUACUUGAUAGACGCUAGUAGUUCCCAAUCAGACAAUUUCGAUAAAAAAAUCUGUUUUCCUCAGUGCAAUGUUUGGUGAAUGCAAGGUGUUGUUUUGUCUUCAGUCCUCUUUUGAUUUCUGUGUGUACUGAUUCAGUUCUAAAUGACCAUCAUCGAGUCCAUUCUCACCUCCUCCAUCACUGCAACGGAUUGUCCGGUCAGCUGCGAGGGUCAUUGGCCGCCACCCGCCCUCAAUCGAGGUCCUGUACGACUCCAGGGCAAGGAAGCAUGCCAGAAAGAUCAUCGACAGCCCCUUUACCCCCUCUUCCAAAGAGUCCCCUCUGGCAAACGGUUCAGGUCAAUCACAACCAAAAUCUCCCGCCACCCGAACACUUUCUUCCCCUGUGCCAUAGCCCUCACCAACUGUCCACCUGGUCCUCUUAUACAUGUACUAUGCACCCUGCACUAUUGUCCCAAAGCUGCACAUUACUCUUUGCACAUCUCUUAUAUGCAUAAUUUAGCUUAUUUGUUUACAUUUUAGUAAUUUAGCAGACACUCUUAUCCAGAGUGACUUACAGGGGCAAUUAGGGUAAAGUGCCUUGCUCAAGGGCUUGACACUUUCGGUUACUUAACCAAUGGUCUUAACCACCAGGCUACCUGUCGUUCAUAGUGUAUACACAUACUAUAUGUGGUUCUGUGGAAAUUCUGCAUCUAUAUAUAUUUUUUGUCUAUAUAUUGUGUUUAUGGUCUGUAUAUUCUGUUUAUUGUGGCAGCACCAUUUCACAGUGAAAUUCCUGUACAUGCAAAUGUAUUUGGUGAAUGAAG
RNAcentral lists this long non-coding RNA (1309 nucleotides) under Salmo salar (Atlantic salmon). RNAcentral describes it as "lncRNA (ENSSSAG00000104121.1)". The record is from RNAcentral. Lineage: Eukaryota; Metazoa; Chordata; Actinopteri; Salmoniformes; Salmonidae.